Molecule: ribosomal RNA, 497 nt
Filed under: uncultured bacterium
Lineage: Bacteria
Description: partial 16S ribosomal RNA
Rfam family: Bacterial small subunit ribosomal RNA
Source: RNAcentral
GAUGAACGCUGGCGGCGUGCCUAAUACAUGCAAGUCGAGCGAACGGACGAGAAGCUUGCUUCUCUGAUGUUAGCGGCGGACGGGUGAGUAACACGUGGAUAACCUACCUAUAAGACUGGGAUAACUUCGGGAAACCGGAGCUAAUACCGGAUAAUAUUUUGAACCGCAUGGUUCAAAAGUGAAAGACGGUCUUGCUAUCACUUAUAGAUGGAUCCGCGCUGCAUUAGCUAGUUGGUAAGGUAACGGCUUACCAAGGCAACGAUGCAUAGCCGACCUGAGAGGGUGAUCGGCCACACGGGAACUGAGACCCGGUCCAGACUCCUACGGGAGGCAGCAGUAGGGAAUCUUCCGCAAUGGGCGAAAGCCUGACGGAGCAACGCCGCGUGAGUGAUGAAGGUCUUCGGAUCGUAAAACUCUGUUAUUAGGGAAGAACAUAUGUGUAAGUAACUGUGCACAUCUUGACGGUACCUAAUCAGAAAGCCACGGCUAACUACGUG